AACAUUCACUAAAGUAUUCUGAUACAGAUAAAAAUGAGCUGGUAGAUCAAAUUGUAAAUUAAUUUAUAAUUUUGAAUAGUGUUUAUUUGAUAAAGUGAUGGAAAAUACUCGGUUUCGUUUUCGGAUGCAGUAUUUCUAUAAAAAAUUACAUUACUUGAAUUCUAUUAUUCAUAAAAUAAAUUAAGAAAACACAGAUGUGGAGAUCCAAAUAAAUAGGCUUUAAAACAAAACAAUAAAAAAUCAAUCUUUAAAAAAAAACAACCCAAUCUGCCUUUUCAAUGAAGUAAGAUUCCUUCAACCCUCGAUUAUGCUUUAACGCUUAUCCAACAACAUAGCUGCGGACGAAAGCAGCAACACGGUUGCGUAUGAUAACCGGACUUACCUACGAAUAAAAUAGAUUCGCCCAUCCAAUCCACAACCGUGUUGAGCUUUAGCCGCUAGUAGCAGUCGGAGGGCAGAGUUCAGAGUUCACUAGACUGGAGGAAAGAAUGGACGUCCGCCGAGAAGGUUGCGACCGGAAAUCGAGAAGACAUGAUACUCUGAAAAAAGGCCGAACAAGAAUUCCUCUGCAAAUGCUUCCACUUUUGAAAAUCCAUUCAAUUGAAUUUGAAAAGAGACAAUAGCAACAUGGUUAUGUGAAUGGAAUUAUAAAAAUAGAAAAUGCUGAUGUUAUUCCAAUGGGUGUGCAAGAAUGGGCAGUCAAGGAAUGAAAUAAAUACAAAUUUUCUAGUCCAGCAGUAAGGGAAAAAAGAAUUCGGAAAGUUCAAGUGAUGGGGAAAACCUUUCUACCCCAUGAAGAGAAAACAUCAACAAGACUCUAAGGUUGUUUCCUGAUUGUAAAGACGACGAUUACUUGCCACCCCUAACACCUGCAGUGCCUCAAUUGGUCGGUUUUUCCCCCUCGUUUGGAACAGGAAAAGAUUCCACAAGACUAUGUUCCUAAUGCAGAAUCUUUUUUUAAACCCCAAAAUGAGAAAUGACUGCAACAAGAACUCCAAAUAGAUUCGUAUGGUUUCAAAUUGCCCUUUUUACCAUCAAGUCUCAAGAACCAGUUUCUUGCACGUAUCGACAGUCAUCCAAAAUGAUGAUGAUUAAUGACUUGAUUAAUAAUUGUUAUUUACAAACUAUAUUCUAUGCUUGUGAAAUUUCUUGUAAGCCGGUAUGUUAGUUUCUAUGCAUUCUAAUGCAUAAAAUUAUGUGUUUAAUUUACUCAAAUAAAAAUAUCUAUAUUAUAUCCACAAUUAUGAUUGGUAACUUUUUAACAAAAGAAAUCCUGUGUAAUAUAAAAUUAUUUAUAAAGAAUUUUAACCCUGAGGUUUCUUAGAAUACAAAAUUUGGACUUGCUUGGUUGUAAUAUCCUGCAGUCUAAAAUCUAUGUUAAGAAAUUUUGCAGAUGGUUAUUAUAUCGGAAAUUUCAAAGGUGAAAGCUGAAAUUUUAUCAGCCCAAUUCAAAACUUUAUUGUGUUUAAACUAAGUCCAAAUGUUAUUUUUCUCUUGGUCUUUGAAGCAAAAAGGGAAAUGGUUGUUAUGAAAUUGAUAUUAAUUCCCCUCAAAUAUCUUUUUUUUCUUUCUCUCUCCCCUUCAGUUUCUCUUGAUUUGUCUUUAUUCUUCAAAUAUUUAAUAUAUUUUUAUUUAUUUAUUUUUCAGUUUUUCUCUGUGGACUUUGAGCAAUUUCUUCUAUAGAUCUCCACACAAUCCAUUGAAUUUGGAGCUGAUACGUUUGGUAUGACUAAUAAAGCUGGCUUUGCAGCUUUGUAAACGAUACAGAACAACAUCCUUUGAUUUGCACUUGGUCUCCCACGGUGGACACCUCUCAAUUUUAUAUAAAAUAUGAAAUGAAAUCAAUAUGAAACUUAGGUUCGAAAAGAAAAACGUGAUAUUCUUUGUGAAUCAGUUCUCAGCCCACGAAUACACAGAAGUAUCGAGAUCAAUAUCAAAGGUGAAAUCUGUAAUCUCUAACCGCAUUUUCCAAAGACUCCCAUGUGUAGGCACAUUAGAAGAAUAUUGCCAUAAUAAAAACAUUUCUCCUGGACCAACUAAUCCCGAUUAUGGUUCCGGUAAGUUGAGAUAAUUGUAAGCAUUUUGCUAUCAAGACCCGUGACUUGAGCUUCCAACAAAGCUUGGAUCUGACUACCAUUAAACAUUUGUUUGCCGAGUUCAAGUCACAGCUCCCCCCGAACCAAUUAUCCCGGCCACAGAUGCAUCCAAGAAUGAGAAUUCUACUGCUGUGGUGGCUGUCAACUGCUCCUCGAAUGUUGUCAUUAAGGGAACAGUUCACAGCAUUAAGUCUUGUGUUUUCAUGGGAGGGCUUCGCUAUAGCUCUCGCUGUAAUGAACUUUGUCGAAGAAUAUAAAGAUUAUAUAUUAUUGACUGGCAAUUUAUCCAAUUUGACAGCACUGACAUGCCUAAACUUCCAUUCUCCCAGAAGUGCUCUUUUUGUGGCCCAAGUUAUAUUUAAUGCUUUAAAGAUAUGUUUCUCAUUAGAGCUGAUAUACAUUCCUGCCCACGUGGGAAUUGCAAAAAAUGAAUGGGCUGAUGAUUUAGUUAAGCAAGCCUUGUCUUCUCUUAAUAUCUGCAUCUGGAUCUCGCCCAAAGACACCUGUUCGGUAUGUGCUAAAAUUGUAUGACAUAAACAAAACUUAGAAUGGGAAAAUUCUAAAUACUAUGAAAAAUACAAAUGGCUUGAUGGUUUCAAUUUUAAAAAACUCAAUUUAUCUAGACGUAAUGAGGUCUUAAUUUUUUGAUUAAUAUCUAGGACUCUUCCAGUCAAUACAGUUCUUCAUGAAUGUAGGCUCAUUGAAUUAUCAAAUUGUGUCCAUUGCCAGAUUCCAGAAACUUGUGAACAUUUUGUCCUCUCUUGCCGUAAAUAUGAGACGACUAGAGAUUCUCUCCGUGCCAAGUUGGGUUGUAUACCACUGUCUUUAGAUUGGAUUUGUGAUUUCGCCCUUCAGGGUUGUCAUAAAGUGAAGGCUAUUUUAGCUUUCUUUGUUGAUUCUGGCAGAUUUUUAAUUUUUUGUGAUAUUCGUGUUUUGAUUUGGUUAAUCUGGCACAAGCUAAGAACUGGUUCAGGAGCAUACGCCGAAAAACAAACCUCCAUUCCUUCCUUCCUUCCUUCUUAAAUUUCUCUUCUUUCUUAAGUUUUUUGUUUUUGCUAUGCUGUUUUUUUUAGUUGAAUAUGUUAUGUAGUAUUUUUUAAUAUGUGUUUUAAAAGUUGUCUUUUAAAUUUGUUAUAAUUUUUUUAACUCUUUAACCUAAUUUUGUAUCAUACUUUAAUAAUUUAAAAAAUUUAAUUGUACUUAAUUAGCAUAU
Long non-coding RNA from Argiope bruennichi, 3309 nucleotides. RefSeq lists it as uncharacterized. The transcript has 4 exons. NCBI's taxonomy places the organism in Eukaryota, Metazoa, Arthropoda, Arachnida, Araneae, Araneidae. The record is from RefSeq and is a predicted model, not a curated record.